CCUAGACUGUGAGCAGCUGCCACUCUCCCUCCUCUGCUCUUCCCGUCUCCAGCCUGCGCCGCCUCUCUGAUUCCUCUUUCGGUCCUCGCCGCCGCCGCCACUCAUCCUUCACCUCUUCACCCUCGCCGCUUCUCCACAACGCUAGCCCCUCCACCUGUCCUUCCUUCCCUUCGUUGUCUGGUGGCCAUGGGAUGCGCCUGGAUCCAGAUCGGGCGUAGUAGGUGAGCUGAUGGUUGGGUGAAGGAGUAGGGGAGGCGGGCGAUGAGGACAGGAAGAAGCCGGCCGUCCUGGUACAAUGGGGCAGCCGGGAAGGAGGAGGAGGUCGGCUGCGUCCCCGGGGUUGUCGGUGCAGCUGCUCCUCAACGAGAUUCGGCCAUGGAGAGGACCGUGGUGGCAGCACAGCCUCGCCCCCUCUGCCGCUAGCCCGACCUUUCUCUUCUCGCGUCCCUUUCUAUGUCAUCGGCUCGCGCUGCUGCUUUGGUAGGCAUCCUCCUCAUCCUCGGUGCUCAACAGAUUUUAUUUUCGUAUGCAUACAAGGUGUUCGACGAAAAUCCUAGAAGGCCGGCAGGGGACGAGUGAUCUAUGAGAGGAGGACAGCCACAGCAGCAAGCGGCGUGCUGUCCCAGCCAGCUGUCGUACAUAGCCGAGUCGAUUUUGCGUUGCCUUACCUCCUGUUGUUUGGUUUUCCGCUUUUGCUCACUUCUCCUUCCAAUGUUGGUGCAGGAUCGUUCGUUGUUCGGCUGGCUGCUCAGGUUUGCCAACGACGUCAGUUUGUUAUUUUCUCCUGAAGGUUCUUUGUUGAUUCGUUGGACGUGUGUGAUGCUGACCAACAAGGUUAGGAUUCCUCUGGUUGUCUUUCUUGAUAAGGUCUGUACACAUUCAUAAACUCGUGUGUUUGUGCGGUCAGGUUGGCUGUCUAUAUGUUUUGGGGUCCGCCUGCUCGCUGUAUUGACAACCAUAGAAAAAUAUAGCAAGAGUAAAAUUAGGCUUGUUGUUUGAGAUGAUUCCUUUCCACGAUAAAUAAAUUGGAGUGGUUUCAAACUCUUAAGCCCUUGAUCGGACAGAGAAACACGGGUUGAACUGAACUCUAUAUAUAUAGUGUUAUCUAUUCUUGUGGUGCUUUUAACUUUGAUCUUGCAACUGAACCUGCAAACUACUUAUUUUUGUGGAUUGGUAAACCUGAAUGUCGGAAACUAAAUGGGUGGCCCUGGGUUCAGUGGCGUUCAAGUACGACAAGACCAUAUUAUGACAGGAGCAUAAAGGCAUAAACACGAAAGCAUGAAACUAAAUGUGUUCCCUGGGUGGUCUUAUACAUUGAGACUAGAUACAAAAGGUUCCGCAAAGAGGGACUCAAGUCUACAACCACCAAAGAGAUAAGGCCAUGAACAAUAGUAUGUGGCCGUGCUAUGCAAAUUUUCUCUCAUCGAGGCCUAGCAGGCGAUAACGGCGCCAUGAGGAUUCGCUGCCGUGAGGAGGACCCCGACCCGUAUGAUGUCCACCGGAAGGUCACACACUUCCUUGGCUCGCUCAGACUGGCUCCAUUGAUGGCUUCUCGAAGGUAUCUUCUUGUGCAGCUUCACACUUGCUUGUGUGUCUUGCAAAAAAGUAAGCUACCUGGUACCUCUUUAGUCUGCUUUAGCAGGCGUUUGCAGAGGAAGCCAAGGGAUACAUGAUAUUGGUAAUUUACUAAUGAUCCAUAUUGUUGGAAUAAUUUUGUUGCAAAUAUUUUUGUUGGUUGUCCUUUUAUUUUAUUUAUAAUCUUGCCUCGAUCAUGUCUUCCAUUGUGCUUCUUCACUGAAAAGGUGGUCUGCAUAUGUGCACUUGCUGAGAAUGGAAUAAUCUCAUGAAUUCUAUUGAAAACAUAAGUUACUUAUUUUAGUAUGCUUAAUGUUUGGUUUUAGUAAUUAUGUCUGCUUUAGCAGCCAGGAGCAUCCCCUCCCAUUUUUGACUUUGAACCAUGUGCCCUGUUUAAACCAGCGUAGUUCGAUGACCUUAUGCAAUUAUUUGGUACAAAGAAUGUGCUGAUAAAGUAUUUUUAUUUUUGCUUUAUUGUGUUUAGUUCUGAGGUAUUGAUACUCCUGUCAAUCUGCUCUAAUCUGGUUCACCAAUAUCCUGAA
Triticum dicoccoides is the source of this 2117-nucleotide long non-coding RNA. RefSeq lists it as uncharacterized. NCBI's taxonomy places the organism in Eukaryota, Viridiplantae, Streptophyta, Magnoliopsida, Poales, Poaceae. The transcript has 6 exons. The record is from RefSeq and is a predicted model, not a curated record.